Molecule: ribosomal RNA, 304 nt
Filed under: uncultured bacterium
Lineage: Bacteria
Description: partial 16S ribosomal RNA
Rfam family: Bacterial small subunit ribosomal RNA
Source: RNAcentral
CAGCAGCAGCCACGGUAAUACGUAGGUGGCAAGCGUUGUCCGGAAUUAUUGGGCGUAAAGGGCUCGCAGGCGGUUUCUUAAGUCUGAUGUGAAAGCCCCCGGCUCAACCGGGGAGGGUCAUUGGAAACUGGGAAACUUGAGUGCAGAAGAGGAGAGUGGAAUUCCACGUGUAGCGAUGAAAUGCGUAGAGAUGUGGAGGAACACCAGUGGCGAAGGCGACUCUCUGGUCUGUAACUGACGCUGAGGAGCGAAAGCGUGGGGAGCGAACAGGAUUAGAUACCCGGGUAGUCCCUGUCUCUUAUAC